This is an unclassified non-coding RNA of Callithrix jacchus (white-tufted-ear marmoset), 117 nucleotides long. It matches the Rfam family "Metazoan signal recognition particle RNA". Rfam says of the family: The signal recognition particle (SRP) is a universally conserved ribonucleoprotein. It is involved in the co-translational targeting of proteins to membranes. The record is from Ensembl. Lineage: Eukaryota; Metazoa; Chordata; Mammalia; Primates; Cebidae.
GCUGGGCAUGGUGACUCAUGCCUGUAAUCCCAGCAUUUUGGGAAGCCGAGGCAGGAGGAUUGCUUGGGCUCAGGAGUUCAAGAUGAGCCUGGGCAACACAGCAAGACCCUGUCUCAU